Molecule: unclassified non-coding RNA, 223 nt
Filed under: plant metagenome
Description: partial contains small subunit ribosomal RNA, internal transcribed spacer 1, and 5.8S ribosomal RNA
Source: RNAcentral
UUUCCGUAGGUGAACCUGCGGAAGGAUCAUUAAAGAGAAUAUGCCCUUCGGGGUAGAUCUCCUACCCUUUGUUUAUAUUACCUUUGUUGCUUUGGCAGGCCCGUCUUCGGACCACCGGCUUCGGCUGGUCAGUGCUUGCCAGAGGACCCAAAACUCUUAUUAUUAAUGUCGUCUGAGUACUAUAUAAUAGUUAAAACUUUCAACAACGGAUCUCUUGGUUCUG